Ahaetulla prasina is the source of this 1293-nucleotide long non-coding RNA. RefSeq lists it as uncharacterized. The transcript has 3 exons. The record is from RefSeq and is a predicted model, not a curated record. NCBI's taxonomy places the organism in Eukaryota, Metazoa, Chordata, Lepidosauria, Squamata, Colubridae.
GGGGGGGGGUGUUCUAAAAUGGGGAAGGGUGUGUGUGGAAGAGAGGAAACCGCAGAGGAGGGAAUUCAGUGAGGGUUGUUUUCUCUUUCUUUCUUUCUUUCUUUCUUUCUUUCUUUCUUUCUUUCUUUCUUUCUUUCUUUCUUUCUUCCCUCCCUCCCUUCUCUUUCUUUCUUUCUUUUUUCUUUUUCUUUCUUUCUUUCUUUCUUUUCUUCCUUCUUUCUCUUUCUUUCUUUCUUUCUUUCUCUCUCUCUCUCUCAUUUUCUCUCUCUCUCUCUUUCUUUUUGCUGGAAUCGCUCUGGUUCUUUGUGGGUUUGCCCGCUGAUUUGUUUCUCCCCCCCCCCUUUCGAUCUUCUUGGAGGCUCAGCGCACAUCACAAAGCCGCUGAAGCCCCUUCGCGGAGAGAGGCUCAGGCUCCCCCACCUCCUCCUCUUCCACUUUCUUUUAUGACUUCUGGAACGGCGUCUCCAGCGCCGAAGGGAAAGGGGAAAGGGAAGUCCCCGCGGCGAGAGUCAGAAAUGAAAAACGAAAAGACUUCCUUACCCGAUCGCUGCCAGGGCGGAGCGGCGAGGAAUCCGGGCGCAUCCCUGUAAUCCAUUGCGAGGCGCCUUCGGUCAGGAGCCGCGUCCAGUUAUAACCUGAAGAGCGGCAGGCGCCAGGCAGAAAAUGGCUUUCUCCAGAUAGGCCUUGUGGGGAUCCAGUAGCCUUGCAGCAUGGAGGAGCAUGGAACUCCAAAGAAGGAAGAAUGAAUGUACCAAGAAUUGCUAAAAAAAAAAAAAAGUCAGGAAAGGGAAACCACUGGCUUUCCAAAGCUCAGCUGAAGCUGGAUAUAUGACUCCGCCACAAUGACUUGUUCCUCUAUUCUUUCUUAGGGUAUUAGCCAUUCAAAAAUCCCUCCUUUUUUUAAAUCACCAUUGCCUAAAUCUUGUUGCAUUGGGUGCUGUUUAUGUACAGUGGAGUGAAAUGAAUCUUUUAGCAAUUGUUGACAGGUUGGUACAUGAUUCUUUUCAAGAAAGAAAAACAAAACACCCCUAAAAAACGAAAUCUUAAUUAGUUGUUGGAAAUGACUAUUUUUAUGUGGACAUAAAGUAGGACUGAAAUCGAAAAGACUUUCUUCUAAGGAAGAUGUUAAGGCUGGAAAGGGAAGCAAAAGAAAUCAUUAUUUUCACUGCCCUAGAUCCAGAAAAGCAAACAAGUGAAAGUCGCUGCAGUAAAUGUUUUUGCCUCUUGUUGUAAACCCAUUAAUGCUUUCUCUCUCUGUGUGAAGUUGUGCGAAAUAAACAUUUAUGGGUCAUA